GAAAGGAGGAGAAAAAAAAAAAAAAAAAAAAAAAAAAAAAAAAGGGGCGGCCACGUCAGCAGCCACGUCAGCAGGCCCGGUCAGCAGUCCCGGCCAACCAGGGCCUGCCACGUGGCAAGACCGCGUCACUCCAAAAGGAGCCACGCUGGCGAUCCGCGUGGGUGCGAUCCGACGGCCCAGAUCAAUCACGCGAUCGGACGGCCCAGAUUCAAUCAAAAACGAACGGCCCAGAUUAAAACAAAAUGAACGGCUGUGAUCAAAAGGCAAGGGGUUAUAAAUAGAACCUCCACACCAGACCACAAACCCUAGC
Molecule: long non-coding RNA, 310 nt
Filed under: Carica papaya (papaya)
Lineage: Eukaryota; Viridiplantae; Streptophyta; Magnoliopsida; Brassicales; Caricaceae
Description: long non-coding RNA (CPAP_LNC001379)
Source: RNAcentral